RNAcentral lists this ribosomal RNA (337 nucleotides) under Acinetobacter baumannii OIFC032. RNAcentral describes it as "bacterial SSU rRNA". It matches the Rfam family "Bacterial small subunit ribosomal RNA", at positions 834 to 1170 of the family's 1533-position model. Lineage: Bacteria; Pseudomonadati; Pseudomonadota; Gammaproteobacteria; Moraxellales; Moraxellaceae. The record is from RNAcentral.
GAGGCUUUAGUGGCGCAGCUAACGCGAUAAGUAGACCGCCUGGGGGAGUACGGUCGCAAGACUAAAACUCAAAUGAAUUGACGGGGGCCCGCACAAGCGGUGGAGCAUGUGGUUUAAUUCGAUGCAACGCGAAGAACCUUACCUGGCCUUGACAUACUAGAAACUUUCCAGAGAUGGAUUGGUGCCUUCGGGAAUCUAGAUACAGGUGCUGCAUGGCUGUCGUCAGCUCGUGUCGUGAGAUGUUGGGUUAAGUCCCGCAACGAGCGCAACCCUUUUCCUUACUUGCCAGCAUUUCGGAUGGGAACUUUAAGGAUACUGCCAGUGACAAACUGGAGGA